GAUGAAGAACGUAGCGAAAUGCGAUACCUGGUGUGAAUUGCAGAAUCCCGUGAACCAUCGAGUCUUUGAACGCAAGUUGCGCCCGAAGCCUCGGCUAAGGGCACGUCUGCCUGGGCGUCACGCAUCGCGUCUCCCCCAAACCGCCAAGGCGGAGGGGAAGGAAGAUGGCUUCCCGUGCCUCACCCGGGCGCGGUUGGCCUAAAUUUGGAGCCCGCGGCACUUAGCUCUCGCGGCGAUAGGUGGUGAACAAGGCCUUGGCCGUGCAAACAACCCGCUGCGAAGCUCUAUGUCACGUGCGCUCGUCGGACCCUUUGAAGUUGCCUUUGGUGACUUAAAACCUUUGCGACCCCAGGUCAGGCGGGGCUACCCGCUGAAUUUAAGCAUAUCAAUAAGCGGAGGA
Molecule: unclassified non-coding RNA, 400 nt
Filed under: soil metagenome
Description: partial contains 5.8S ribosomal RNA, internal transcribed spacer 2, and large subunit ribosomal RNA
Rfam family: 5.8S ribosomal RNA (bases 1-120)
Source: RNAcentral